AUGUUAUCACGGGAGACACACGGCGGGUGCUAACGUCCGUCGUGAAGAGGGAAACAACCCAGACCGCCAGCUAAGGUCCCAAAGUCAUGGUUAAGUGGGAAACGAUGUGGGAAGGCACAGACAGCCAGGAUGUUGGCUUAGAAGCAGCCAUCAUUUAAAGAAAGCGUAAUAGCUCACUGGUCGAGUCGGCCUGCGCGGAAGAUGUAACGGGGCUAAACCAUGCACCGAAGCUGCGGCAGCGACACUAUGUGUUGUUGGGUAGGGGAGCGUUCUGUAAGCCUGCGAAGGUGUGCUGUGAGGCAUGCUGGAGGUAUCAGAAGUGCGAAUGCUGACAUAAGUAACGAUAAAGCGGGUGAAAAGCCCGCUCGCCGGAAGACCAAGGGUUCCUGUCCAACGUUAAUCGGGGCAGGGUGAGUCGACCCCUAAGGCGAGGCCGAAAGGCGUAGUCGAUGGGAAACAGGUUAAUAUUCCUGUACUUGGUGUUACUGCGAAGGGGGGACGGAGAAGGCUAUGUUAGCCGGGCGACGGUUGUCCCGGUUUAAGCAUGUAGGCUGAUUGUCCAGGCAAAUCCGGAUAAUCAAGGCUGAGGUGUGAUGACGAGGCACUACGGUGCUGAAGUAACAAAUGCCCUGCUUCCAGGAAAAGCCUCUAAGCAUCAGGUAACAUCAAAUCGUACCCCAAACCGACACAGGUGGUCAGGUAGAGAAUACCAAGGCGCUUGAGAGAACUCGGGUGAAGGAACUAGGCAAAAUGGUGCCGUAACUUCGGGAGAAGGCACGCUGGUGUGUAGGUGAAGUCCCUGCGGAUGGAGCUGAGACCAGUCGAAGAUACCAGCUGGCUGCAACUGUUUAUUAAAAACACAGCACUGUGCAAACACGAAAGUGGACGUAUACGGUGUGACGCCUGCCCGGUGCCGGAAGGUUAAUUGAUGGGGUUAUCCGUAAGGAGAAGCUCUUGAUCGAAGCCCCGGUAAACGGCGGCCGUAACUAUAACGGUCCUAAGGUAGCGAAAUUCCUUGUCGGGUAAGUUCCGACCUGCACGAAUGGCGUAAUGAUGGCCAGGCUGUCUCCACCCGAGACUCAGUGAAAUUGAACUCGCUGUGAAGAUGCAGUGUACCCGCGGCAAGACGGAAAGACCCCGUGAACCUUUACUAUAGCUUGACACUGAACAUUGAGCCUUGAUGUGUAGGAUAGGUGGGAGGCUUUGAAGCGUGGACGCCAGUCUGCGUGGAGCCAACCUUGAAAUACCACCCUUUAAUGUUUGAUGUUCUAACGUUGGCCCCUGACCGGGGUUGCGGACAGUGUCUGGUGGGUAGUUUGACUGGGGCGGUCUCCUCCCAAAGCGUAACGGAGGAGCACGAAGGUUAGCUAAUCCUGGUCGGACAUCAGGAGGUUAGUGCAAUGGCAUAAGCUAGCUUGACUGCGAGCGUGACGGCGCGAGCAGGUGCGAAAGCAGGUCAUAGUGAUCCGGUGGUUCUGAAUGGAAGGGCCAUCGCUCAACGGAUAAAAGGUACUCCGGGGAUAACAGGCUGAUACCGCCCAAGAGUUCAUAUCGACGGCGGUGUUUGGCACCUCGAUGUCGGCUCAUCACAUCCUGGGGCUGAAGUAGGUCCCAAGGGUAUGGCUGUUCGCCAUUUAAAGUGGUACGCGAGCUGGGUUUAGAACGUCGUGAGACAGUUCGGUCCCUAUCUGCCGUGGGCGCUGGAGAAUUGAGGGGGGCUGCUCCUAGUACGAGAGGACCGGAGUGGACGCAUCACUGGUGUUCGGGUUGUCAUGCCAAUGGCACUGCCCGGUAGCUAAAUGCGGAAGAGAUAAGUGCUGAAAGCAUCUAAGCACGAAACUUGCCCCGAGAUGAGUUCUCCCUGAGACUUUAAGUCUCCUGAAGGAACGUUAAAGACGAUGACGUUGAUAGGCCGGGUGUGUAAGCGCAGCGAUGCGUUGAGCUAACCGGUACUAAUGAACCGUGAGGCUUAACCUU
Molecule: ribosomal RNA, 1977 nt
Filed under: Klebsiella pneumoniae
Lineage: Bacteria; Pseudomonadati; Pseudomonadota; Gammaproteobacteria; Enterobacterales; Enterobacteriaceae
Description: bacterial LSU rRNA
Rfam family: Bacterial large subunit ribosomal RNA
Source: RNAcentral